RNAcentral lists this ribosomal RNA (460 nucleotides) under uncultured bacterium. RNAcentral's name for it is "partial 16S ribosomal RNA". It matches the Rfam family "Bacterial small subunit ribosomal RNA", at positions 338 to 795 of the family's 1533-position model. The record is from RNAcentral.
CCUACGGGCGGCAGCAGUGAGGAAUAUUGGUCAAUGGACGAGAGUCUGAACCAGCCAAGUAGCGUGCAGGAUGACUGCCCUAUGGGUUGUAAACUUCUUUUAUAUGGGAAUAAAACGUUCCACGUGUGGUGUUUUGUAUGUACCACAUGAAUAAGGAUCGGCUAACUCCGUGCCAGCAGCCGCGGUAAUACGGAAGAUCCGAGCGUUAUCCGGAUUUAUUGGGUUUAAAGGGAGCGUAGAUGGGUUGUUAAGUCAGUUGUGAAAGGUUGCGGCUCAACCGUAAAAUUGCAAUUGAUACUGGCAGUCUUGAGUGCAGUUGAGGUAGGCGGAAUUCGUGGUGUAGCGGUGAAAUGCUUAGAUAGCACGAAGAACUCCGAUUGCGAAGGCAGCUUACGAAACUGCCACUGACGUUGAUGCUCGAAAGUGUGGGUAUCGAACAGGAUUAGAUACCCUGGUAGUC